This 74-nucleotide transfer RNA is filed under the name Calditrichota bacterium. Its description in RNAcentral is "Calditrichaeota bacterium (activated sludge metagenome) tRNA-Met". It matches the Rfam family "tRNA". Rfam says of the family: Transfer RNA (tRNA) molecules are approximately 80 nucleotides in length. Their secondary structure includes four short double-helical elements and three loops (D, anti-codon, and T loops). Lineage: Bacteria; Pseudomonadati; Calditrichota. RNAcentral also lists the same sequence under 1 other name. The record is from RNAcentral.
CGCGGGGUGGAGCAGCUUGGUAGCUCGUCGGGCUCAUAACCCGAAGGUCGCAGGUUCAAAUCCUGUCCCCGCCA